RNAcentral lists this ribosomal RNA (253 nucleotides) under uncultured bacterium. Its description in RNAcentral is "partial 16S ribosomal RNA". It matches the Rfam family "Bacterial small subunit ribosomal RNA", at positions 524 to 776 of the family's 1533-position model. The record is from RNAcentral.
UACAGAGGGCGCGAGCGUUGUCCGGAAUCACUGGGCGUAAAGGGCGCGUAGGUGGCGGCAUAAGGCCGUGGUGAAAGUCUGGGGCUCAACCCCAGAUCGGCCAUGGCGACUGUGUCGCUAGGGUACUGUAGAGGCAGGUGGAAUUCCCGGUGUAGCGGUGAAAUGCGCAGAUAUCGGGAAGAACACCCGUGGCGAAGGCGGUUCUCUGGGACGGUACUGACGCUGAGACGCGAAAGCGUGGGGAGCGAACAGG